Long non-coding RNA from Piliocolobus tephrosceles (Ugandan red Colobus), 3000 nucleotides. Lineage: Eukaryota; Metazoa; Chordata; Mammalia; Primates; Cercopithecidae. The record is from Ensembl.
AUGUCAAAAAACAGUUUUGAACAUAUGGAGAAUAAUAGUAAAAUCUGUAAGAACAAUAACAGUAAGAAUAGUGAUUAUAAGAACAGUAACUGUAACUGUAGAGAUGAAAAAGGAAAUAAAAAAGAAUCUAGUUACGGUACUAUUACAAAAAAAAGAAGAGGUAGAAACAAAAAAAUAUAUGAUGAUGAUUAUGAUACUGAAGUAGAAGAAAUGAAAAGAAAAAAAAGAGAAUUUAAAAUAAUGAUUGAAAAUAACAAAGCUGAAUUUACAACAAUAAAUGAAAAUGAUAAUUUAUACAAAACAGUUUUAUUUGUUGAAAAAAAAAAUAAAAAGUUAUUACAAUUGAGAAAAUCAUAUCGAAGAAAAAGGAAAUUACAAUUAAUAAAUUUAGAAACAAAAAAUAUAACUAAUUAUAAAAACAUAUCAGAUUCAUCAUCAUUAAGCAAUAACAUAAUAAAUACAAAUGAAAUAAAUAUAAAUCAGAACAGUAAUUGUAAGGACCAAGAUGAAACAGUAACAUAUAAUAAUAAUCUAGCAAAAAACGAUUUGGUAAAAAAAAAUGAAAACAAUAAUAUGAUAAAUGUUGUAAGUGAUGAACAGGAACCACUGAUUACAAAUAAUAAUGACAAUACUACUGAAAAUACUACUGACAAUACUACUGACAAUACUACAGACAAUACUACAGACAAUACUACAGACAAUACUACUGAAAAUAAUAAUAUUGCAGUGGAUGAUAAUAUUUCAAAUGAUGAAAUUUUAUUAAGAAAUUUUGGCCUUCUUUCACUAAAUAGCAAUAACCUCUUGUCAGAUCGUAGCAGUAUGUUAUCAAAUAAUAACACAACAUAUUUUAUUUCACAAAAGAAUGAAAAAACAAACAAUAAUAAUGAAUUGAUUAGUGCGGUAAAUGAUGUAAAAAACCAAAUUGAGGUAAAUAACAUGAAUAGUGUUAAAAAUAAAGUGUGUUGCGAAAAAAAAAAAAAAUCUUUAAACAAUAAAAAUAAUCAUACUAUAACAGAAGAGACGGUUAUUACAUAUACAUCUUUUGGACAAACUGAAACAAAUGUCGUCACUGAUGUAGUAUUGACAAAUAUUGUACAAAAAGAAUCUGAGACAGUGAAAGUCAAUGAACAGUUUUACAUAUCAAACGAGAACGUUGAUAGGAAUAUUAAAAACACCUCAAAUGACAUGUUCUGCGUUAAUAACAAUAAAAUAUUAUUAAUUAAAGAUAAAACAAAUAAUUCAGAGAUGCAGGAAAAUAAUGUUACAUGUAUAACUGAAUUAAGUAGUUACACAGAAAAUAUUCAAAAAGAUAAUAAUUCGAAUGAUAUAUUCACAUAUGUUCCAACAUUGAAUAAUAGUAAAACACAAAAAAAAAUGAAUAUCAACUAUUCAAAUAAAUCAUCUAUUGCUUGUAAUAAUAAUGAAAUAAAUGUACCUUUAUUGGUGGAUAAAGAAUUAAAAAGUGAUAUAUCAAAUUCAGAUCAUUGUGUUUUAGAUGAAAAUAUAAAAGAAGAUAACAAUAAUGGUGAGAAAGAAAAAGAAAAAAAUAAAGUGACAAGAAAAUUAAGAGAAAGAAAAAAAAAAUUUAGACAAGAUGAUAUAUAUAUAUAUGAUGUUGGUACUAUUGUAGGAGUUAAUAAAAACGGAAACUGUGAUGGUAUAACUACAGAUUCAGUUAUUGAUAUAGUUGAUAAUACAUCUGGAGAUUUAUUAAAUAGUUUUUCGGAUGGGAUAUCUAACUGCAUGCUCCAGGGUUCUAUCGAUGGAACACUUAGUGGCACAGUUGGUAACACAAUUGGUAACACAAUUGGUAACACAGUUGGUAACACAGUUGGUAACACAGUUGGUAACACAGUUGGUAACACAGUUGGUAACACAAUUGGUAACACAGUUGGUAACACAAUUGGUAACACAGUUGGUAAUACAACUGGUGGUGAAAAAAAAAAAAAAAUAAAAAAUAAUAAUAAUAAUAAUAAUAAUAAUAAUAAUAAUAAUAAUAAUAAUAAUAAUAAUAAUAAUAAUAAUAAUAAUAAUAAUAAUAAUAAUAAAAAUAAUAAUAAUAAUAACAAUAGUAAUAAUAAUAAUAAUAAUAAUAAUAAUAAUAAAAAUAAUAAUAAUAAUAACAAUAGUAAUAAUAAUAAUAAUAAACGUAUAGCUAAAACUAAUAAUGCUUUAAAAAACGCACAUAUAAAUAAUAAUUUAAUUAUAGAUAUACCAAAUAUAGACAAUAACCAAACAAAUACCGAAUUGGUGAUAACAACUGGUAGUACUAGUAACAAUAAUAUGGACGAAAAUAAAAACACAACGAUUAAGGAAGAAACAACAAAUGGAAAUGUGGUACUUCAGAAUGAUGGAAAAUCUAGUGUUAAUAAUAAACAUAAUAAAGAAUUCAUCAACUAUAUUGAGACAAAUUUUAUAAAACCUGAAAAAGAAGUUUACACACAAAAUGAUAAUAUGGAGUGUGGUAUUACUAAUAUUAAGUGUAAGAAUGGAAAUAAAAAAAUAAAUAAAAAUGAAAAAAAUAUAAGGAGAGAAAAUAAAAAAAAAAGAAAAAAUAAUGUAACAAAAAAUGUUAAAAAUGAGGUCAAAUUAAAUAAAAUACAAAAAAUUAAAAAGGAAUCUAAUACAAAUAAAAAAUCUCGUAUGAAAGUUUGUUUAGAAGAUUAUUAUAAAAAAAAUAAAGAAAUAUAUAUGCAUAUAGAUACCUUAAAUACAAUUAAUGAUAUAGAUUUACCAUCUAUUGAAGAUGACACAUUUCUUGACAAUUUUGAAAUGUUUUUAAAAAAUAAAAAUAAUAAGGAUUUUAUUUGUCCAAACUGUAGUUAUUCUUAUAAAAUACAAGUGAGUAUAAAAGUUGGGUUGAUAGAGUUGAUAAUGAAUAAAAACGGGAUUGAGUAUACUGAACUGAAUAAUAAAAUAGAAAUAGAAAAAACAAAUGGCAUAACAAAUGGCAUAACAAAUGGCAUAACAAAUGGCAUAACAAAUNNNNNNNNNNCAUAA